This 497-nucleotide ribosomal RNA is filed under the name uncultured bacterium. Its description in RNAcentral is "partial 16S ribosomal RNA". It matches the Rfam family "Bacterial small subunit ribosomal RNA", at positions 28 to 507 of the family's 1533-position model. The record is from RNAcentral.
GAUCAACGCUGGCGGCGUGCCUAAUACAUGCAAGUCGAGCGAACAGACGAGGAGCUUGCUCCUCUGACGUUAGCGGCGGACGGGUGAGUAACACGUGGAUAACCUACCUAUAAGACUGGGAUAACUUCGGGAAACCGGAGCUAAUACCGGAUAACAUGUUGAACCGCAUGGUUCAACAGUGAAAGACGGUCUUGCUGUCACUUAUAGAUGGAUCCGCGCCGCAUUAGCUAGUUGGUAAGGUAACGGCUUACCAAGGCAACGAUGCGUAGCCGACCUGAGAGGGUGAUCGGCCACACUGGAACUGAGACACGGUCCAGACUCCUACGGGAGGCAGCAGUAGGGAAUCUUCCGCAAUGGGCGAAAGCCUGACGGAGCGACGCCGCGUGAGUGAUGAAGGUCUUCGGAUCGUAAAACUCUGUUAUUAGGGAAGAACAAAUGUGUAAGUAACUAUGCACGUCUUGACGGUACCUAAUCAGAAAGCCACGGCUAACUACGUG